UUCAAUCAAUUCCUUUCUUUUUCUCUCGACCUCUAAUUCUUUGGACACUUUAGCAUAGUGUCGGUUGUGUUGUUGAAUCUCAUGAGCACCCAGUGGGAUUUUCGGAUCAGCAACGGAUGACGAGGAGGAUGAUGAUGAUGAUGAUGAUGCCGAUCCCGUGGUAUAGCGGUUAAUAACAGCGUCAAUGUUGGGGUGACCAAAAGCAAAGACGCGCUUGCCCAAAGAAUGAACGAUGAUGGCAACUUCUGCCCCGGUCAAGACGCAAAGUUCACUUGCUUUCUUGAAGAGACCGACUCUUCGCUUGGAGAAGCUUUUGCUGGUGGUUCUCCAAUGGAUUGUUGGUUAUGAAGAUCUAGAUGUGUUACAACUUGAUUCUGCAAUAGAGAACACUAAAAUCACUGGACAAAUUGCUCCCCAUUUUUGGCAGCAUUCAGGGCCACUUGCACAGUAUAGGAGUCUUGUUAAGCAAGGGAAGCUGCAGCAUGAUCCUUACCAGGAAGAGGUUGCUUUUAAACUGGAAAAUCUGCUUGGGAGAAUGGAGCAAUAUGAGAAAGAUAUGGAGGAGUACCAUGAAAAGCUUACCAAAUGGGAGCAGAAGAGGGAAAACGAACGGCGCAGGCUUUUGAUGCAGGAAGCUGAGACCAAACAAGAGGGGGGUGGUAUGACAUCAAUAAGCAAGCAGCGAAAUCUUUUCCAAAGAUGGAUGUCCUGGAAGAAACAUGAAAUUGUAGAGCCAGGAGUAGGGAAAUGGGUCUCAUAUCUUAAUCGAGAGAAGAAAUUAGAUUCACUGGUUGGUCGUCGUCCCACUGCUCCUCCAGCCCCCAGAGGAUUGUAUCUUUAUGGGAACGUUGGAAGUGGUAAGACAAUGCUUAUGGAUAUGUUUUAUGGUGCGACUGAAGGAGUUGUAAAACACCAAAGAAGAUUUCACUUUCAUGAGGCUAUGCUGUUAAUAAAUGAGCACAUGCAUAAGAUAUGGAAGGAUCAAGUUAAGAAUAAAAGUUUGCAGUCAAGUAUUUCUAGUUGGAUUACUAAUCUUCCCUUUGAUACAAAAAUUAAAGAGUGGUUAGCUGCAGAAGAAAGAUAUAAGCAAGAGGUGCAGAUGAAAAACAUCCUUCCUGCUGUAGCUGAUAAGUUUCUCACUGAAGCCCAUGGAAAUCAUGCAGGAGCUAGCCUUCUGUGCUUUGAUGAAAUACAGACAGUUGAUGUUUUUGCAAUCGUAGCAUUAUCUGGAAUUCUAAGUAGAUUGUUAAGCAAUGGAACAAUUCUUGUUGCCACCAGUAAUCGUGCACCGAGAGACCUGAAUCAGGAUGGUAUGCAAAAGGAAAUCUUCCAAAAGCUUGUAGCAAAAUUGGAUGAACAAUGUGAUAACUGUCUAAUAGGAAGUGAAAUUGACUAUCGCCGUCUUAUAGCAAAAAGAUCUAUUGAUCAGGUUCAUUAUUUUUGGCCACUGAAUAGUAUCAAAACAGAGGAAUUUGAGAUUAUGUGGGACAAGCUUACAAGACUAUCUGGGGGAAUAAUCACUUCAAAGGCAAUUCGAGUGAUGUUUGGGAGAACAUUGGAGGUUCGCCUAAGCUGUAACGGUUUGGCACGUUUCACAUUUGAGUACCUAUGCGGUCGACCGGUUGGAGCCGCAGAUUAUAUUUCUGUAGCUAAAAAUUACCACAUGAUCUUUAUCUCAGACAUCCCUACUAUGAGCAUGCGAAUUCGUGAUAAGCUACAAUUACCGAUACUGGGUUUCUCGCUUCCAGGCUCGGAGAUUUAUAACUCUCAUUGAUGAACUUUACAAUCACCAUUGCUGCCUAUACUGUUCUGCUGCUUCUUCAAUAGAUGACCUAUUUCAAGGAACUGAAGAGGGUACACUUUUUGACUUGGAGAGCUUCCAAUUUGAAACAGAGACUGAAGGUGCCAAACUGCGACGAGAUGUUCUAGCAGAGGGCACAGUUAGUUCUGGUGGUACACCAACUGGAAUUACUUCCAUGCUAUCUGGUCAAGAGGAGAUGUUUGCAUUUCGCCGAGCUGUUUCCCGCUUGAUUGAGAUGCAAACACCUUUAUACCUGGAAGGUGUCCGCCAUCUUCAUCCGUAUUUCCAGAAUCAAAAGGAAAGCUUUGGUACUCUUAAUGCAAAAGCAACUCAAUUUCGGGAACCAUCUCUUGAAAUCAUUUGAUGUGUACAUCACGUCGAAACUUUUAGUACAUUUUUUGUGCUCGUUUGCCAUCAUUUAAUAGGAUAUACCGAUAACAAAGGGAAAUGAAUUUUUAAACAACAUUUUGCUAUCUAGUUCUGUUCCUA
This is a non-coding RNA of Coffea arabica (coffee), 2290 nucleotides long. The record is from RefSeq and is a predicted model, not a curated record. Lineage: Eukaryota; Viridiplantae; Streptophyta; Magnoliopsida; Gentianales; Rubiaceae.